CAGUAGCCACGGGAAUACAGAGGUCUCAAGCGUUGUUCGGAUUCAUUGGGCGUAAAGGGUGCGUAGGUGGCGGUGUAAGUCUAACGUGAAAUCUCGGGGCUCAACCUCGAAAUUGCGUCGGAUACUGCAUUGCUAGAGGAUUGUAGAGGAGAGUGGAAUUCUUGGUGUAGCAGUGAAAUGCGUAGAUAUCAUGAGGAAGACCAGUUGCGAAGGCGACUCUCUGGGCAAUUCCUGACACUGAGGCACGAAAGCGUGGGGAGCAAACAGGAUUAGAUACCCCGGUAGUCCCUGUCUCUUAUAC
This 301-nucleotide ribosomal RNA is filed under the name uncultured bacterium. Its description in RNAcentral is "partial 16S ribosomal RNA". It matches the Rfam family "Bacterial small subunit ribosomal RNA", at positions 509 to 807 of the family's 1533-position model. The record is from RNAcentral.